Molecule: ribosomal RNA, 126 nt
Filed under: Melipona quadrifasciata
Lineage: Eukaryota; Metazoa; Arthropoda; Insecta; Hymenoptera; Apidae
Source: RNAcentral
ACCAACGUUCAUACCGCACUGAUUAAACUCGUUCUCGUCCGAUCACGAAAGUUAAGCAGUGCUGGGCACGGAUAGUACUUAGAUGGGUGGGGGGGUGCCGCUUGGGAACUCCGUGUGAUGUUGGUU